This 71-nucleotide transfer RNA is filed under the name Candidatus Bathyarchaeota archaeon ex4484_205. RNAcentral describes it as "tRNA-Gln". The record is from RNAcentral. RNAcentral also lists the same sequence under 1 other name. Lineage: Archaea; Thermoproteati; Candidatus Bathyarchaeota.
GGGCACCGACCAGGGUGUAAGCCUUCGGUCUCUGGAGCCGGGGGUCGUGGGUUCGAAUCCCACCGGGCCCA